Molecule: long non-coding RNA, 454 nt
Organism: Poecilia latipinna (sailfin molly)
Lineage: Eukaryota; Metazoa; Chordata; Actinopteri; Cyprinodontiformes; Poeciliidae
Exons: 3
Source: RefSeq, a predicted model, not a curated record
AGCAGAAACGAUGUCUCAGUAAAUAUUUCAACAACCUGUCUAAUUAAACUGAAUUCAGAAGAAUCACAGUCUUCUUUUAGUAUUCUGAUGACCUCAAUUCGAUUGGCAUUUGUCUGCAUAUGUGCUGCUGUUGCCAUUAAACUUUUUGCAGUGGGAUAUAAUCGUCAUAAGGCAAAAACUGCUACAGCUCCGUUAACGCAAAGCAGUCAAAUGGAGAUGCAAUCGCUGCCUGACGCCAGAGUCUCCAUGUGUUCGUCCAGUGAAACGGAGCAUUCAUACCAGAAUGUGGAGGCCAGUUAGCCAAGAAAGAACGGCAUCCCGAGAGAUAAAUGUGCCUGCUGUGAUACUGACAGAAUGAGAGUAGCAAAAGCACACAGUGUGACUGCAGAGACUGAACCCCGAUAGCAACAUACACUAGAAAAAACUGAGUUUACAAUAAAUCAUGAACCAUGGA